RNAcentral lists this ribosomal RNA (405 nucleotides) under uncultured prokaryote. RNAcentral's name for it is "bacterial SSU rRNA". It matches the Rfam family "Bacterial small subunit ribosomal RNA", at positions 355 to 774 of the family's 1533-position model. The record is from RNAcentral.
UGGGGAAUAUUGGGCAAUGGGCGCAAGCCUGACCCAGCAACGCCGCGUGAGGGAAGAAGGUCUUCGGAUUGUAAACCUCUGUCCUUGGGGACGAAAAAAAUGACGGUACCCAAGGAGGAAGCUCCGGCUAACUACGUGCCAGCAGCCGCGGUAAUACGUAGGGAGCGAGCGUUGUCCGGAAUUACUGGGCGUAAAGGGUGCGUAGGCGGUCAGGCAAGUCAGAUGUGAAAUCCCCGGGCUUAACUCGGGUGGUGCAUUUGAAACUGCUUGACUUGAGUGCAGGAGAGGAAAGCGGAAUUCCUAGUGUAGCGGUGAAAUGCGUAGAUAUUAGGAGGAACACCAGUGGCGAAGGCGGCUUUCUGGACUGUAACUGACGCUGAGGCACGAAAGCGUGGGGAGCAAACA